UUUUUCAUUAUUAUUUUUGCUGCACGCGAGAAACAUGACACACGUGCGUGGUAAAUAUUGAACGCACGUGCGGGAUAAAAAUUAAACGCAGUUUCUUAUUUAUAACGUUGGCGGUGAGUUGGAGCUUGCGGAUCGAUAUUGACGCGUGUAGGGGCGACAUUAUGGUGGGAGAGGCACCGCUUUCUGAAAGCGUUCGACGGCAUGGGAAACUCAUGGCAAUGUGGCGACGGAGAGGGAGCGGUGAAAACCUUGGUAAAUGUGAGAACGGUUGUUGAGGUGAAGAGAAAAUAGUACGGCGAAGUAUCCAGCAGUGACAAAGAAUUUACGGUAGAGUUUGUAGCUGAGUUGGGAGGGGCGAGCAUAAGGGACGAAGGGAUAAGAAACAUGUCGGAUGAGAUCAUACCAGCACUAAAGCACCGGAUCCCAUAAGAACUCUGAAGCUAAUCGUGCUUGGGCGACAGUAGUACUAGGAUGGGUGACCUCCUGGGAAGUCCUCGUGUUGCAUUCUC
This 509-nucleotide ribosomal RNA is filed under the name Hordeum secalinum. Lineage: Eukaryota; Viridiplantae; Streptophyta; Magnoliopsida; Poales; Poaceae. The record is from RNAcentral.